This 483-nucleotide ribosomal RNA is filed under the name uncultured bacterium. RNAcentral describes it as "partial 16S ribosomal RNA". It matches the Rfam family "Bacterial small subunit ribosomal RNA", at positions 30 to 507 of the family's 1533-position model. The record is from RNAcentral.
UUGAACGCUGGCGGCAGGCCUAACCCCUGCAAGUCGCGCGGAUGAAGGGAGCUUGCUCCUGGAUUCAGCGGCGGACGGGUGAGUAAUGCCUAGGAAUCUGCCUGGUAGUGGGGGAUAACGUCCGGAAACGGGCGCUAAUACCGCAUACGUCCUGAGGGAGAAAGUGGGGGAUCUUCGGACCUCACGCUAUCAGAUGAGCCUAGGUCGGAUUAGCUAGUUGGUGGGGUAAAGGCCUACCAAGGCGACGAUCCGUAACUGGUCUGAGAGGAUGAUCAGUCACACUGGAACUGAGACACGGUCCAGACUCCUACGGGAGGCAGCAGUGGGGAAUAUUGGACAAUGGGCGAAAGCCUGAUCCAGCCAUGCCGCGUGUGUGAAGAAGGUCUUCGGAUUGUAAAGCACUUUAAGUUGGGAGGAAGGGCAGUAAGUUAAUACCUUGCUGUUUUGACGUUACCAACAGAAUAAGCACCGGCUAACUUCGUG